Molecule: non-coding RNA, 674 nt
Organism: Pogona vitticeps (central bearded dragon)
Lineage: Eukaryota; Metazoa; Chordata; Lepidosauria; Squamata; Agamidae
Source: the annotation of a RefSeq genome assembly
AAUCUGAGGUGUUUUUGAUCUUCAGAAGGCAGGAAGGCAAAAACUGAACUGCAGGCUGCGGUCUGUGUUUAUGCAACUCUCCGAUGAAGGAGACCGACUGAGUGACAUUCUUCAUGUCUGUUACGCAGGAGAAAGACAUGCAGUUCCUGGGGGCUGUUUUAUUUCUGGCCAUCUUUGAAGGCAUUUGGGGCCAAGAAACAGUCACUCAGAAGGACCGCUUUGCUAACACCACGGAGGGGGAACCGGUCCACCUCAACUGCUCCUACCAGGGAACUCCAAAUAGUGUUCAGUGGUACCAGCAAAACCCGGAUGGCCAGAUCGUUCAUAUUGCUAUAUUAUUCCAAACCAAAACGGAGUCUUUUGGCCGAUUUGAUAUGAACCUGAAUAAACAGGAGAAAACGACCUGGUUACGUUUGAAGAAUCCCCGGCUUGAAGACUCCGGUGUCUAUUUCUGUGCGAUGAGUCACAGUGUUGCCGUGAGGCACGCAGGCUGUCCCAAAACCUGGGGUGGACCCUUCAAGUUCAGACAAGGCCCUUAGUGGUGCAUUCAAUUAAUUCUAGACAGUGACCCAGGGAAAGUUCACUCCCAAAUUAUCCUGAGAAAUAGAUGAUACUGGGAAAGAAUGAGCAAUGGAGGAACAAUUUAUGAUUUCCAUGAGUAAAUCAAAAUUUGA